Molecule: long non-coding RNA, 253 nt
Organism: Sinocyclocheilus anshuiensis
Lineage: Eukaryota; Metazoa; Chordata; Actinopteri; Cypriniformes; Cyprinidae
Exons: 3
Source: RefSeq, a predicted model, not a curated record
CCACCAGCUCAGGUGUAAUGGUGUGCUGGAGGGUAUCAGAAUCUGCAGGAAGGGUUUCCCCAGCAGAAUCCUCUAUGGUGACUUCAAGCAGAGGUACAAAGUAUUAAAUGCUAGUGUCAUCCCUGAGGGACAGUUCAUUGACAACAAAAAGGCUACAGAGAAACUCUUGGGCUCUAUUGAUGUUGACCACACCCAAUACAAAUUUGGACACACCAAGGUGUUCUUCAAAGCUGGUCUGUUGGGUGCCAUUCAU